Molecule: long non-coding RNA, 1852 nt
Filed under: Gallus gallus (chicken)
Lineage: Eukaryota; Metazoa; Chordata; Aves; Galliformes; Phasianidae
Source: RNAcentral
AGCCCCACAGGUGCUGCUGCUCAGCAUCAACCCCACCCCACAAAGCACAGGUGGCACUGAGGGGCACUGCUGCUCUCCCUUAUUUAUAGCCAUGCAGGGGGUGGGUCUUUGUAGUGCUCUCGCUGGGUGUAGAGUUCACUGUGCAACUGUAGAAAGGGUUCCGCAUGAAGGCAGAGUGGAAAACCCUAACAAAGAACUGGACAGGAGCUGCUCUGCUGAGAAACCUGGCGAGGUGUUGCAAGACUGAGCGUAAGGAGUGCAGAACACAGUAGUUUGCUACAACUCUCCUCAAUGAUAGAGGCUUCAGUUAUGAAUGCUGUACCACAGAGGAAGGGUAUUUCUUGGAACAGGAAAACUUAGCUAGAAGACGGUGUACAUUACAGGGGAGAAUGGAGUUUCAGGAAGAAUUCACCAGGCUUUUCAGAUUCCAGGAAGAACCUGACGUGGCAGAACAAAUGGUUUGCAAGAAGGAAAUGUUUCAUGUAGACAUAGAAGAAUAACUUCGUGACCCCAUGGGGUUAUCUUCUGAGCAGACAGACAUGCAGGAUGAUGACAAAGAGCCUUUCGAUCUCCCUGCCCACAGGAUGCUUGGAAGGGACCUCUUCCCUCUCACCAGAGAGCAAUGUGGACUGCCAGACCCAGUGUCUCAUAGACUGCAGGCAGGGACAUUACUACACAGCUGGCAACUGCUUGGAAUGUCCAACGGGCUUCUAUUGCCCUGGGGGUCAAAAAGCUCCAAGGAAAUGCCCACUGGGAACAGCCAAUGAACUUACAGCUCAAGUGGACAUCACAGCCUGCCAGGUCUGUCCCAAAGGCUAUCUCAGCCUAGAGAGUGGAGCUGGAUGUCGUGCAUGCCCGGAUGGCUAUUCCUGUGAUCCACGUAAUGGUGUGCAGAGGAGCUGUAAUCCUGGCCAGUAUUCUCCAGAGGGAGAGUUGGAGUGCCUGGAAUGCCCAGAGAGCCAUGUCUGCCCAGAUGGACGGAGCAGCACUGUUUGGCUGGGCAGGAGCCGGAUCCAAGCCGCACUCGUUGCGUUACCUAUGCCCGUGGUUCUGUCUCAGCUGAAGGCACACUGAUAUGCCAGCCCUGUCCAGCAGGUCACUUCUGUGCUGACAGCCUUACAGGCACUCCUCCAUGCCCAGCAGGGAGCUUCAAGCCCAAAGAGGGGAUUCUCAUGCCCAGCAGCAGCUCUUCGUUCUUACCCGGAAAUGGAUUGUGUUUGAAGUGCCCUGCUGGGUAUUUCUGUCCUGCUGGAGCAAGUCACCCAGCACCAUGCCAACCAGGUACAUACAAUCCUCUCCAAGGACAGGAUGAAGCCACUGACUGCAGAGCCUGCCCAGCAGGAAGAGCUUGCACCCAGGCUGGAUUAGCCCAGCCUGACUCUGAGUGCUUACCGGGGUACGUGUGCCCAGUGGGCUCAUCCAGCCCUCAUUUUCCCAGCAAUGCCUGUCCUCCAGGAACAGUUGGCAAUGGCUUUGACCUCUUUGAUAAGUCCCAGUGUGAGACGUGUCCUGCUGGAUAUUUCUGUGUUAGAGGUAUGUGGUUUUAUGGCAGAGUAAAUGCUGUUCUUUGGUACCUUGUACUGUGCAUCCCUAAGUUAAUGAUGAGAGCAGGUCAGUGAGCUAUCAGUGAUGUAGAAGGGGGAAAAGGUGUCAGUGUAGGGUUAGGUAUUACUGCAGAGACUGCUGUACCUUCUGGACAGGUUGGGUUUAAUUCUAGUCUGAUGUUUUCCCUUGAUCCUAUGGUUAUUGUUUGAACUUAAUGACAUAGAAGCAGCCAUUUUUAUUACAGUAUCCAAAUGUUUUGCCUAUUGAUGGCCUCUUCAGUGUAAUGUCUGUCACGUUUGGACACAGG